This 329-nucleotide ribosomal RNA is filed under the name uncultured eukaryote. Its description in RNAcentral is "partial 18S ribosomal RNA". It matches the Rfam family "Eukaryotic small subunit ribosomal RNA", at positions 1470 to 1796 of the family's 1831-position model. The record is from RNAcentral.
CCCUUAGAUGUUCUGGGCUGCACGCGCGCUACACUGAUGCGCUCAACGAGUUUGUAUCCUUGCCUGGCAAGGUCGGGUAAUCUGUUCAAAACGCAUCGUGAUGGGGAUAGAUUAUUGCAAUUAUUAAUCUUCAACGAGGAAUGCCUAGUAAGCGCAAGUCAUCAGCUUGCGUUGAUUACGUCCCUGCCCUUUGUACACACCGCCCGUCGCUCCUACCGAUUGAAUGGUCCGGUGAAGCGUUCGGACCGUGGCCUUUGGACGGUUCGCCGUCUGUUGGCUGCGGGAAGUUCGUUAAACCUUAUCAUUUAGAGGAAGGAGAAGUCGUAACA